RNAcentral lists this unclassified non-coding RNA (235 nucleotides) under Hevea brasiliensis (rubber tree). Lineage: Eukaryota; Viridiplantae; Streptophyta; Magnoliopsida; Malpighiales; Euphorbiaceae. The record is from RNAcentral.
GGGGUGGGUAAACUUUGAGGAUCCGGAGGUGGCGCUUUGGAUGUUGGAGAUGGUUUAUGCGGUACUGCCGGGAAUGAGCCACUUCCAGUAGAUGGAACAGUGACAACAUCUCUAGGGGGAGCAGAACCAACGGAAGCAGCAGGGAGAUUGCUGCUCAACUCAAGCAGCUUACGGCGAGCAUUCACAUAAUGUAGAUUUUGCACGAUAUAUGGAUCAGCGAAACCAGCCAAAAGAU